CCCGCCCCGAGCCCUGGCUCCCGCCGCCGGCGCCCGCGAUUGGCCGCGUUGGGCGCCAAUGCCCGCCCCGUGCGAGCCGCCCCCGCCCCCGCGGAGGGGAGCGAGCGCUCGCGGGCCCGUGGUGGGUUCGGCUGCGCUGCGUGAGGGGCUGAGGCGGUCGUGGUGGCGCGAGCGCAGGGAGCGGACAUUGGGUUCCUGAACCUCGGUGCUGAAGACAGCCAGGCCUCCAGCACAGCUCUCUGGACGACAGGGG
RNAcentral lists this long non-coding RNA (253 nucleotides) under Delphinapterus leucas (beluga whale). RNAcentral describes it as "lncRNA (ENSDLEG00000011768.1)". Lineage: Eukaryota; Metazoa; Chordata; Mammalia; Artiodactyla; Monodontidae. The record is from RNAcentral.